This is a non-coding RNA of Podarcis lilfordi (Lilford's wall lizard), 67 nucleotides long. NCBI's taxonomy places the organism in Eukaryota, Metazoa, Chordata, Lepidosauria, Squamata, Lacertidae. The record is from the annotation of a GenBank genome assembly.
GGGCUGUGGCUCAGUGGUAUAGCAUCUGCUUUGCAUGCAGAAGGUCUCACGUUCAAUCCCAGCAUCU